This 575-nucleotide ribosomal RNA is filed under the name uncultured bacterium. RNAcentral describes it as "partial 16S ribosomal RNA". It matches the Rfam family "Bacterial small subunit ribosomal RNA", at positions 355 to 923 of the family's 1533-position model. The record is from RNAcentral.
UGGGGAAUUUUGGACAAUGGGCGAAAGCCUGAUCCAGCAAUGCCGCGUGUGUGAAGGAGGCCUUCGGGUUGUAAAGCACUUUUGUCCGGAAAGAAAUCCUUGGCUCUAAUACAGUCGGGGGAUGACGGUACCGGAAGAAUAAGCACCGGCUAACUACGUGCCAGCAGCCGCGGUAAUACGUAGGGUGCAAGCGUUAAUCGGAAUUACUGGGCGUAAAGCGUGCGCAGGCGGUUUGCUAAGACCGAUGUGAAAUCCCCGGGCUCAACCUGGGAACUGCAUUGGUGACUGGCAGGCUAGAGUAUGGCAGAGGGGGGUAGAAUUCCACGUGUAGCAGUGAAAUGCGUAGAGAUGUGGAGGAAUACCGAUGGCGAAGGCAGCCCCCUGGGCCAAUACUGACGCUCAUGCACGAAAGCGUGGGGAGCAAACAGGAUUAGAUACCCUGGUAGUCCACGCCCUAAACGAUGUCAACUAGUUGUUGGGGAUUCAUUUCCUUAGUAACGUAGCUAACGCGUGAAGUUGACCGCCUGGGGAGUACGGUCGCAAGAUUAAAACUCAAAUGAAUUGACGGGGUCAUA